The sequence is an RNase P RNA, 329 nucleotides long. It matches the Rfam family "Nuclear RNase P". From Rfam's summary of the family: Ribonuclease P (RNase P) is a ubiquitous endoribonuclease, found in archaea, bacteria and eukarya as well as chloroplasts and mitochondria. Its best characterised activity is the generation of mature 5'-ends of tRNAs by cleaving the 5'-leader elements of precursor-tRNAs. Cellular RNase Ps are ribonucleoproteins.
GUCCCAUUAAAGUCUGUAUUUACCUGCCUACAAAAGGAGGAUUCUCUUUGGAGUAGACUCAGUAGACAAACACAACGCAGGUGGGAAAUUCGGUGGUUCGCACUGUCCAACUUGGGCAGAGAGUACUUGUGAUUCUCUGUCUAGAUCUCUUGAGAGAUUCCUGGCGUGGAAACGCUUGGGUGUUGCCAUAAGAAAUCAAACCAGUCUAGGCUGGUUAUGGGAGGCUUCACGGGCAGUUGGUCCACUUACUAUUCAGUGGUGGGCUGUUGAGUGCAAUAUACAGACUGUGACUUGUUCAUAGAACCCGAUACCGAUUAUUUUAGUGGGAC